AGCAGUGUGGCUCAGUGGAAAGAGCCCGGGCUUGGGAGUCAGAGGAUGUGGGUUCAAAUCCCGACUCUGCCA
This 72-nucleotide transfer RNA is filed under the name Ornithorhynchus anatinus (platypus). It matches the Rfam family "tRNA". From Rfam's summary of the family: Transfer RNA (tRNA) molecules are approximately 80 nucleotides in length. Their secondary structure includes four short double-helical elements and three loops (D, anti-codon, and T loops). Lineage: Eukaryota; Metazoa; Chordata; Mammalia; Monotremata; Ornithorhynchidae. The record is from Rfam by way of RNAcentral.